AACGUAGGGGGCCAGCGUUGCUCGGAAUUACUGGGCGUAAAGGGUCCGUAGGCGGUGCGGCAAGUCGGAAGUGAAAUCUCACGGCUUAACUGUGAGGCUGCUUCCGAAACUGCCGUGCUCGAGUGCGGGAGAGGCGAGUGGAAUUGCAGGUGUAGCGGUGAAAUGCGUAGAUAUCUGCAGGAACACCCGUGGCGAAGGCGGCUCGCUGGACCGCAACUGACGCUGAGGGACGAAAGCUAGGGGAGCAAACAGG
RNAcentral lists this ribosomal RNA (253 nucleotides) under uncultured bacterium. RNAcentral describes it as "partial 16S ribosomal RNA". It matches the Rfam family "Bacterial small subunit ribosomal RNA", at positions 524 to 776 of the family's 1533-position model. The record is from RNAcentral.